AUUACGACACAAAACCAAGAGAAAUAUGUGGGACUAGCUAUACGUACACCUUUACAAGAAAAGAAACAAGAUUAUUGUACAGUAUUGUUACUGCCGUUACGCGUGAUGUCACGCACUCAUUAGCUACAUCCCGAGAGGCGUUGCGAGUUAAAAAAGGAAGCAAGUGCUCGAUCGAAGUGGGAAUCGUUUCAUCGCCUGUUUAACCGUCAUCGUUUAUAUUAUAAGGACACAAACCUUAUAGGUGUGAAUGGAGAAUAUCACAUCAUCAAAGCUCAAUCCAGAAAUACUCUUAAAAUAGAUGCCCUUUACUCUGCUGCAAAGUACAAAUAUUAUCUGUGGACUUGGUGUUCCCUCUGCACCACAUAUAAUUAUUCCAGAAGUGUCAGCAAUAAGGCUUUGCUUGUCUUGCACAUUCU
Molecule: long non-coding RNA, 416 nt
Organism: Stylophora pistillata
Lineage: Eukaryota; Metazoa; Cnidaria; Anthozoa; Scleractinia; Pocilloporidae
Source: RefSeq, a predicted model, not a curated record